Molecule: ribosomal RNA, 253 nt
Filed under: uncultured bacterium
Lineage: Bacteria
Description: partial 16S ribosomal RNA
Rfam family: Bacterial small subunit ribosomal RNA
Source: RNAcentral
UACAGAGGUCUCAAGCGUUGUUCGGAUUCAUUGGGCGUAAAGGGUGCGUAGGUGGCGAGGUAAGUCAGGUGUGAAAUCUCGGAGCUCAACUCCGAAACUGCACUUGAUACUGCCCUGCUGGAGUACUGGAGAGGAGAUUGGAAUUUACGGUGUAGCAGUGAAAUGCGUAGAUAUCGUAAGGAAGACCAGUGGCGAAGGCGGCUCACUGGCCCGGUACUGACGCUCAUGUGCGAAAGCGUGGGGAGCAAACAGG